UUUGGGUCUGUCUUCCUAGGGUGUGUCACCUACUUUGAUCUGGUGCCUUUGUCUGAGGUCAAGAAGUUGGAAUUUGUAUAAAUGUUACAUUUGAAUAGGAAGAAUUGUUAAUUGUGUUUGGGAUGAACAUAAAUUCUGAUUCACUUUGAAAUUGGUAGUGAAAGCCACAGCAAUUUUAAAACUGAAAGUGCUAAGAAAUGGGGAGUUCAAACUGUAGUACGUAAGGCAUCUGGCAUUAUUCAAUAUUUCACCCUCAGAUAAAACCUCUUAUCCAUUGGUAUGUGGUGGGGAAUAAAAAAUACAACUGAACUCGGAAAGCGUCUUGCAUAUAGAAGCUGUUCAAAAAGUUCUAGCUACUCUCUCUACCACCAUGGUGACACUACAGAAAAAGGUGGAACAUCACACAUGUAAAAAUACAUGACUGUAUUUUGGUAAUACAAGUAUAAUCUAAUCUUUGUAUGAAUACAAACACGCUGCUUCUGAGCCAGUUCCUCCUCCUGAGCAUCAUUUACGCCCACACUAAGCAGCAUCGGAAAAGAAGAUUCAAAAUCAGAAGCCAUCUCUCACUCUUUUGACUCACUGUAAUGACUGGUUUCUGUCAUUCUUUAUGUCGUUCUUACAAUGAAAUUGUUGCCUUUGUCUUUUUUUGAUUCCCCUUCUAUGGCAGGCAGAUUGUGGGGAGAGGGGGAAGCAAGGGCAGUGAUCUAGGCUAAGUAGUGUCAGCCUUACAAAGCAGAACUGGCAGAUAAAUCUCUUACCUGGAGCUUUGUAAGUCUGAAACCCAAGAGUGGGGAGAAAUCUGAGUCAGCAAAGAGUCUCUGAAUGUGUCUGUCAACAAACACAGCAGCCUGGGGUGGGUAUAGGGAGCCAGAUUUUAAACUAGGAGAUCACAGAAUGAGAAAUUGGGGCUGGUGGCAAACAAGAAAAGCAGGAGCGGUCUAAGACAGAGGUCUGGUUGGCUUGUGUGUUGUCCCUUCAUCAUGGUGGCAUACUAGGCUUGGGACUUGUAAAGGGACAGGGACAGAGCUGAUGGUCUUGUAUUCGGUUUAUUUGCCUCCAUUGCCUUUUGCUCUCCCUGAGUGGGAACUUUGAGGAGUAAGCCUGUUGUAACCAGCUUUAAACCCCUUACAAUAUCCAUCCAAGUAGCUUACAGAGAGUAGGCGUUCCAUAUUUAUUUGUUAAAUUAAUUUGAAGAUAAUUAUCACUUUGGAUAAAUACAGGGAAGGUUUGAUUAUGAAAUGAGACCUAGCCACAAGAUAAGCAUGAACAGUCAGUGCCGUUCAGGUAGACGAAGGUCAAGCUUUGCUAGCAAAUGGAAUUCCAAAGUAAACGCAUAAUACAUAUUGUUAAAGGAGCUUUUCAAAGAAUAACCACACCUUGAGUUUGAUGCAUUUUUAUUUUGGGGAACAACGAUACAUUUCACCAAUGGUUUCUAUAAUUUCAGAUUUAAAACUUGCUGGAUGAGUUGCAAAUGUAUGAGAAAUGGUUUGGGAAAACCAUUUUUAUUCAUUAAGUUGUUUGUUUUGAUAGAUAAAAAGGCACAUCUUUUUUAAGUGAUGUUUGUUUCAUAUUUUGAGUGGCAGCAAAAAUAAUUGCAUGUUUGAAAUCUUUGAAAUAUGUUUUAAUGCUUUUAAAAUGACUUAAGAGCAAAUGUGCCAAAUUUACCCACUGCUUAAUCUUUCCAUGGUUGAAAGUUAGCUUCACUUUCCAAGCUUUAUGGAAUUACUUAAUAUGUUCUUCGAUUAUGUGUUUUAAAUCGCAGUCAGUGUCUGUACCUGGUGAACUGAUUAGAACAUUUGACACACCUAUAGCAAGAUUUUGCAAAAAAAGACAGUCAUGGUAAUAAAAGAAGUAUGUCUUGGAAAGUUUGGAAAAUGAAAAAUAAAAACACAAUAAAGAGCUUCUAGAGGGCAGGCACCUGUCUGGUUCGCUCAUACACCCCAGCUCCUAGAACAGUGCGUGGCACGUGGUAAGUACUCGCUGAUAUUUAUGGAAUGGACAAAUCUUCAAUUCUAAUAUUUAUUCACGUGGAAUGUUUUUUAAUACCACUUCCAAAGACUACGCCAGAUAGAAGCCUCCUUUUAUUGUUCUAAUCAGCAGUGCUUUAUUUACUCAUUUAUUCAUUCACUGACUGUACUAGGUUUACCGAAUGCCUACAUGUGCCCUAAAGUAGGGCUUACA
Molecule: long non-coding RNA, 2181 nt
Organism: Diceros bicornis minor
Lineage: Eukaryota; Metazoa; Chordata; Mammalia; Perissodactyla; Rhinocerotidae
Exons: 3
Source: RefSeq, a predicted model, not a curated record